This is a non-coding RNA of Nothobranchius furzeri (turquoise killifish), 2406 nucleotides long. The record is from RefSeq and is a predicted model, not a curated record. Lineage: Eukaryota; Metazoa; Chordata; Actinopteri; Cyprinodontiformes; Nothobranchiidae.
CUGAUAUCGGGUUUAUUACUCAAGUAAGGGUAAAAAAGUAUCUGAUUAGAAUGCUACUUGGGUACUGAGUAUCAUCUGAUCUAAUAUUUUUAAAUGAUGACAUCAUAAUAAGACGUUAUGGGCAAAUAUUGGUAUUUUUAAGACUAAAGGGGAAAAAUGUAAACAAAUAAACAACAUAAUUACAAAAUAACACAUUUUAGGCAAAAUUUAGACACAAACUGAGGACAAUAUUUCCUGACAUACAGGGUUUAUUUAAUUGUGUGAAAAUGUAGCACGUUUAAAAAAAAUACCGCGAUACCGAAAACCGUGGUAAUUUUGGUCACAAUAACCGUGAGGUUACAUUUUCACACCGUGACGACCUUAAUACAGACCAUUUUAGAUUAGGUUACAUUUCCUUUAUUCCCAGAUUAUGUAGUUUGUAGCACUCAUUAUAAUGUUGUAGAAAAUUUCUGGCCAAUCCACGUGAUCGGUAUCGGUGAUCGGUAUCGGUGAUCAGCAUUCUUUGAUAUCGGUAUCGGUGAUCAGCAUUCUUUGAUAUCGGUGAUCGGCAGCAAAAAACCUGAUCGGUGCAUCCCUAGUUAAGGGUUAACCACGUUUGUGACUGAGAUGUUUCCUCGUGCUGCAGCUGCAUCCAUAAAUACGUCUGCAUUUGUUAAAACCUGCAUCUCUCUUGCUUCUGUCCUUAUUCUGUUACAUAAUCUGAUUAAUGAUCCUUCCUCCGGUUACACGUUGGACUCGUGGAUCUUCUCUGAACCAAAAGUAGGUCUCCUCCUAGUUUAAAAUGUAAAUAGGUCACUGGUCUCUGCAGCUGAAGGAAUUUUAAAAGGCACAGCUGGUUUCUGCCUCUCUUACAUGAGCACGAAAAGUAAAGAUGGCUGAAGGACAAUCAGAGUUUAAAUAGUCAGAUUUUCUAGGAAUGUUUCCUGUUGAUAUUUUUGAUGAAGUCCUAUUCCGAUAGAUGUUUGAUUUAUAGACCCAUUUAUUUUCAGCCGUUUGGUGUUUUGUUCCAGAGAACGUGAAGGAUUGGAGCAACGUGGUGCUGGCGUAUGAACCAGUGUGGGCCAUCGUCACUAGCCAGACAGCCACACCUGAGCAGGCUCAGGAGGUCCAUCAGAAACUGAGAUCCUGGCUCAGAGCAAACCUCUCAGACGAAGUGGCCGAUUCUGUCCGCAUCAUUUACGGAGGUCAGCCACAAAUUUUUAUAUUUAUUUAUUUAUUAUUUAUUUUAAUCCUAAUUAGUUGUGUUUUAGUAACUUUCUACAGCGUGUGGAGCCGUUCUCUUCCAGAGAAACAUUACAUGUGUCACUGCUACGGAAGCACAUUACUGUCAGUGCAAGGAUUAAAAUAAAGGUGCUGUGUCUGAUAACAACACACACUCAACAAAAAUAUGAACUUAACACCUUUGUUUCUGCUCCGAUUUUUCAUGAGAUGGACUUAAAGAUCUAAAAUUCACACCUGUGCACUACUCAUGAUGUCAGAUCAGCAUCUUGAUGUGGCACACCUGUGAGGUGGGAUGGAUUAUCUCAGCAAAGCAGAAGUGCUCACUAUCACACAUUUAGACUGAUUUGUGAACAAUGUUUGAGAGAAAUGGUGAUAUUGUGUAUCUGGAAUAAAUUUUAGGUCUUUAAGUCCAUCUCAUGAAAAAUCGGAGCAGAAACAAAGGCGUUAUCCCCCAGGUGUUGGCGUUAUCCCCCGGGGAAACUACACACUGUCGCUUUAAAGUAGAAAAAAGACAAUAAAAACAACCUGGCUGAAAUUGUAAAUUAACUUUAUUAUUUCACAUAUUUUCACACAGUUUUCAGUGACAAGCGUUCUGAUGGUGUUUUAUUAUUUCAUUGCUCUUUCUUCUGUUUCAACAGCAGCUAUUCUAUGGGCAUUCAGGGGAAAUCAAAGGGGGUUUAUUUUAUUUUACUCUUUCUUUAAGACGGGGAGAAGACUUCAAGCAUGAAUGACAGGAUCACACCGGCGUGAGAAGAAAAAGGAACACGGUCACAGACGGGACAAGAAGGAGAAUCAAAGAGAAAGGAGGUGUGAGGAGUGCAGGUACUCCAGUGUCCAGGUGAGUGCACGGCUGAGUGUGUGUACAGGUGUUACAGAGUGUCGCUUUAAUGCCAGUAAAACUGCAUAAUCCUCGUUUUGGUCUUUAAUGCUUGAUGCUUCCCUUUUCUUCGGUCUAAAUGAUUCUAAUUUCUCUACUCAUGAUCUGAUGAAUCUGUAUUUUUGCAGAUUUGUCCUCUGGCUGUACGUGAACUAUUCCUACAGUAACAGUGCAUGUCUGGCUUUUAUUUAUCGGGGUUUUCUCCUGCGUGUGCGUUAUUGUCUUCACGUGCGUGUGUGUGUGUGUGUGUGUGGACGUGCAUACAGUAUCACCUCCCUCCUUCAAGUCCAGUGCAUAAAUUGUUUAUU